AUUAGUUUUUUAAUUGAAGGCUAGAAUGAAUGGUUGGACAAGAAAUAAUCUGUCUUAAUUAAAUAUAUUGAAUUUAACUUUUAAGUGAAAAGGCUUAGAUAAUCUGAAGGGACGAUAAGACCCUAUAAAACUUUAUAUUUAUGAAUGAUAGUUAAUUUUGUUUUGGAAUAUUAUUUUAAAAUAUUUAGUUGGGGUGACAAGGAUAAAAUAUGAAAUAACUGUCUUUUUUUUUUACAGUGAUAUUUGGUUUAAUGAUCCUAAAGUGGAUUAUAAGAUUAAGUUACUUUAGGGAUAACAGCGUAAUUUUCUUUGAGAGUUCUUAUCGACAAGAAAGUUUGCGACCUCGAUGUUGAAUUAAAGGUUCUUUAUAGAGUAGAGACUAUAAUAGAAGG
This 392-nucleotide ribosomal RNA is filed under the name Fallicambarus dissitus. RNAcentral's name for it is "partial 16S ribosomal RNA". Lineage: Eukaryota; Metazoa; Arthropoda; Malacostraca; Decapoda; Cambaridae. The record is from RNAcentral.